RNAcentral lists this ribosomal RNA (392 nucleotides) under uncultured bacterium. RNAcentral describes it as "bacterial SSU rRNA". It matches the Rfam family "Bacterial small subunit ribosomal RNA", at positions 29 to 439 of the family's 1533-position model. The record is from RNAcentral.
AAUGAACGUUGGCGGCGUGGAUUAGGCAUGCAAGUCGAGCGCUCAUCAGCAAUGGUGGGAGCGGCGAACGGCGUAGUAAUUCAUAGGAACGUACCCUCAGGACGGGGAUAGCUACGGGAAACUGUAGGUAAUACCCGAUGACCUCCGCGGAGCAAAGGUGUGAUUCCGCCUGGGGAGCGGCUUAUGCGAUAUUAGCUAGUUGGUGGGGUAAUGGCCUACCAAGGCAAAGGANGUCUAGGGGGUGUGAGAGCAUGGGCCCCCACGACCGGAACUGAGAUACUGUCCGGACACCUACGGGUGGCUGCAGUCGAGAAUCUUCCGCAAUGGACGAAAGUCUGACGGAGCGACGCCGCGUGCGGGAUGAAGGCCCUUGGGUUGUAGACCGCUGGUCA